AGCGAGCAGAGGUGAUGCAGAGAGUUGGCAGCGCUUGUCCCAGGGGCAGUGGGGGCAGCUGGAGGCAGCGCCGGCGGCCGGGACCCUCCCCACACCCCUCAGGUCCCGGAGGGGCGGCAGAACGGAUGGGGUGCACACAUCCUGGCGGCCUGAAUCCAGAAAGAAGAGGGACAUCGAAGCAUCCCAGAUAUACGGAGAGAAAAUGGCUGCUUCUCUGCUAUUCUGUUCCUCCCUUCACAGUCUUGCCAGCCCUGCAGUGACACAAUUCACUGUUGCUGUGCCCUGCUAUAGUCAUGUAUACACACCUGCAGGAAACC
Molecule: long non-coding RNA, 317 nt
Organism: Grus americana (Whooping crane)
Lineage: Eukaryota; Metazoa; Chordata; Aves; Gruiformes; Gruidae
Exons: 3
Source: RefSeq, a predicted model, not a curated record